UACGGGGGGGGCAAGCGUUGUUCGGAAUUACUGGGCGUAAAGGGCUCGUAGGCGGCCAACUAAGUCCGACGUGAAAUCCCCAGGCUUAACCUGGGAACUGCGUCGGAUACUGGAUGGCUUGAAUUCGGGAGAGGGAUGCAGAAUUCCAGGUGUAGCGGUGAAAUGCGCAGAUAUCAGGAGGAACACCGAUGGCGAAGGCGGGUCUCUGGGCCGUAACUGACGCUGAGGAGCGAAAGCGUGGGGAGCGAACAGG
Molecule: ribosomal RNA, 253 nt
Filed under: uncultured bacterium
Lineage: Bacteria
Description: partial 16S ribosomal RNA
Rfam family: Bacterial small subunit ribosomal RNA
Source: RNAcentral